Molecule: ribosomal RNA, 253 nt
Filed under: uncultured bacterium
Lineage: Bacteria
Description: partial 16S ribosomal RNA
Rfam family: Bacterial small subunit ribosomal RNA
Source: RNAcentral
UACGUAGGGGGCAAGCGUUGUCCGGAUUUAUUGGGCGUAAAGAGCUCGUAGGCGGUUCCGUAAGUCGAGUGUGAAAAAUCUGGGCUCAACCCAGUGGAGCACUCGAUACUGCGGUGACUAGAGUACGGUAGAGGAGUGUGGAAUUCCUGGUGUAGCGGUGAAAUGCGCAGAUAUCAGGAGGAACACCAGUGGCGAAGGCGGCUCACUGGCCCGUUACCGACGCUCAGGCGCGACAGCGUGGGGAGCAAACAGG